This 131-nucleotide small nucleolar RNA is filed under the name Drosophila ananassae. RNAcentral's name for it is "snoRNA:GF26140". The record is from RNAcentral. Lineage: Eukaryota; Metazoa; Arthropoda; Insecta; Diptera; Drosophilidae.
CUGGAGUCAAAGUGGCAGAAUCUGCAAACUUGUAGCGAUUCUGUCUCAAAAACUCCUAAAGAAAAGCCACAAGACGAACGGCAUCCUGAAUAGUUCCUCAUAUUAUAUCAGAUGACUUGUGUUCGACUACA